AGGAGAUAACGUGGCUGUAUUUUAUGCUGUAACUGAUGUGUACUUAGAAAGAUUAUAUUUGGUAAUUUAAAUCUUGGUUGCUGGGGGCCUGGAGGGCGUUUGCAGAAGUGAACUGAGUCAGUUGAAGGAAUACAGGCAUUCCUCCUCAUCAUACCAGCCAUAUUAAUCCAGUACAGAACCAAUAUGUGUGGUGAUGAAGGGGAUGUGACCCCGUUUAGGCGUUCUGAAGAUCUGAUUUCAAAAGCUGGGAGGAGCUCACGUGUGACCAGACCAACCUGGAGAGAGAAAAAGAAAGAAAGAGAGAGAGGGACAGAGAGACUGUCUCCCAGCUGCUGAAUGAGGGAUGGGGUCUCAGUGCUGGUCUGCAGUUUCAGGAACAGUUGUUGGCA
Long non-coding RNA from Astyanax mexicanus (Mexican tetra), 389 nucleotides. RefSeq lists it as uncharacterized. The transcript has 3 exons. The record is from RefSeq and is a predicted model, not a curated record. NCBI's taxonomy places the organism in Eukaryota, Metazoa, Chordata, Actinopteri, Characiformes, Acestrorhamphidae.